UGAAACCCAAACCAAACAAGCCUGAGAUCAUAAAGCAUCAGCCUGCUCACAACAUUCCACCAAAACACACGGAGUCACCCUCUUUCCUGCCAACCGUGCUCCCGCCACACCAGGCUUUGUCUGACCUGCCUGCAUGGCUCCACCCCGAGACUGCACACAGCUCUCUCCCCCAGCUUGCGCAUCGGACACACACGCCUCCUGGACCAAGCAGUGUCAAGUCACUCUCCAUCGUGCGGCUCUGCUCCGUUGUCUGCUACACGUAUACUUACCUGAAGAUUCUUUUUCCAUACCCUCCUUGUAUGUGUACAAGACUUCAUCAACUUCCUUCAGAUCCAGGAAGCCUGAGCCGUCAUUGUCCCACUUCUGAAACACAGCUUCUAGGAGAAGUUCCCGUCGGGCUCUGGAAGCAUUUUGUCUAGCCUAGAAUAGAAACAGGGUAACAGCAGUGUCCACAACUAUGGAAAGAACCUAGAUGUCCAUCAAUAGAUGAAUGGAUAAAGAAGAUGUGGUAUAUAUAUACAAUGUAAAAACUAUGCAACCAUCAAAAACCCUAAAUCUUGCCAUUUGCAAUGACAUGGAUGGAACUAGAAGGUAUUAUGCUGGAUGAAAUCAAUCAGAGAAAGACAAUUAUCAUAUGAUCUCUCUGAUAUGAGGAAUUUGAGAGGCAGGGUGGGGGGUCGUGGGAGGUAGGGAGGGAAAAAGUGAAACAAGAUGGGAUAGGGAGGGAGACAAACCAUAAGAGACUCUUAAUCUCACAGAACAAAUAGGGUUGCUGGGUGGGGUGCUAGGGAUAGGAUGCCUGGGUUGUGGACAUUGGGGAGGGUAUGUGCUGUAAUGACUGCUGUGAAAUGUGUAAGCCUGAUGAUUCACAGACCUGUACCCCUGGGGCAAAUAAUACAUUGUAUGUCAAUUAAAAAAAAAAAAAAAGAAACAGGUUAACAAAACACAGGACACACUAUCCAUUGUGCAAGCCGCCAUCCCAUGGUUUAUUCCCUCAAAACUAUUUCUAAAAACAGCUUUAUAAAAAAAAGCUGGGACUAAGCAUGAUAGUAAUGCUUCAAUUGAAGCAUUUAAUUUUUUUUUUUAGAAGAUUUUAUUUAUUUGAGAGAGGAGAGAACGUGAGGAGGGUUGAGAGAGAGAGAGAGAGAGAGCAGGAGGAGGAGCAGAGGGAGAGGAAGAAGCAGACUCCCCCAUCCAACAGGGAUCCUGAUCCCUGAUCAAGCAGGGCUCGAUCCCAGGAGCCUGAAAUCAUAACCUGAGCCAAAGGCAAAUGUAAAGCAUUUAAUUUGAAUCCUCUAAAUACCGUUUCUCUGUUUCAUUCCUAGAACAAAAACACAAAACACAAUAAAACAAAAACCAGGCAUUCUCUGCAUUGGACUAAAGCACAUUAACUUAGGAAAGGGGCUACACUCCUUAAGAAACUUUGAUUCAUUCCUCUCCACUCCCUUGAUGGUCAUUCAGGAAUGUGAUAAACAUACGGCAUGCUCUACCUGGCUUCUUGGUGGGAUAUGCAGGGUGAAGGCAGUGUUCAAACAAUGAAAAAUGACUAUGUUCAAAAAUUAUUUUUUAUAAUUUAUUAUUUAUAAUUUAGCAUUGAUCUAACUUGACAUUGAUUUUACUUACCUUUCAGAUUUUUUACCAGAUUAAUUAUAUCAGUCAGAUAGUAACUAAAUUAUUAUCCAGAUAGAUUUAAUUGCUAAAAGAAAGUUAAUAUACAGCAUUUGGUUAAAUGAGGGAAUUGCAACUGAGGAGGCAAUAGGGAUAUAAACUCUAGAAUUAGGUUGAGAAGACCCAUAAGGCUGCUGAGAUGAGUGAAUGUGCCUGGUGAAUGUAAGCUACAUAUUUCAUAAAAGGGCACAUAAGUUGUUUAUCUCAGCUAAUAUGUAUGCACCUAUCUAUCACUCAACUAGGUAGUAAAUUCUUAGGAAAUAUGGAUCACCUGGAUUCACAUGAAUAAAAAAUACACGUACAAAUCAUAAUUGUACUCCCAGGUAUGUGCAUUAGUAAAUGAAUUCACACAGCAGUGUGCAUGCCAAUGCAUUUUUUGCACAUACACAUAUCUGCUCCUCAGAAUAUGCUCUUCAAGCUUCAGAGGAGGAAAAAGGAAAUUGUGCAAUAAAAGAUCUCCUGUCACCAGUGAUCAUGUUAUUAUUAGGGGAAUGAAUUCUCUGCAGUGUGAUCUUGGAACAUUUGACCAUAAAAUUAAAUACUUAAUGGCUAUGCUCAUUGAAAUAAAGCAAUUAGCUUGAUCAUAAACUUUUUUUUUUUUAAAGAAACUUUAUUUCUUUUUUAAGUAGACUUCACGCCCCUUGUGGAGCACAAUGCAGGGCUUGAAUGCACGACCCUGAGAUCAAGACCUGAGUUGAAAUCAAGAGUCAGAUGCUCAACCAGCUGAGCCACCAAGGACCUCUUGGUUAUAAAUUUUUAAAGGACCACAUUAGGAGCCACUGAGGUUGAGAGCUUUACUAAUAAUAUGACCCCACCUGUUUUAUUGAUAAAUAAUAUUACUCACCUGUUCUAAGCCACUUAUUUUCUCUUCUUUUGUUUCAACAUAGCCUCUCUUAAAAAAGGAUGUGAGGGUCUCACUUACACUCAAGGGGGUAUCUUCACCAACAAAUGUCUCCAGAAGUUGCACAAACUGGAGCAGAUUUAUGGAAACUCCAUUGAAAGCACUUCUACCUUUUAUGUCCUUGUAAGACUGAAUAUUUCUGAUAAUUGAGUGUAGGUCUAUAAAGCAGGAAACAUACAACAAACAGUAAAGUGGACAAUUUCUUAAAGCUUAGAGGAAAAUACACAGAUACUUAUUGUAAUAAACAUCUGUUACUCUUUUCCUGUCAGAAACCCAUGCUCCCUUCAUUAGGAAAACAUCUUUUCCCCACUGUUAGCUUAUAUUUUUAUUUUCAUUUCACAUGUAUCAAUAGUUUUUAUUGCUGAGUAAUAUUCCAUUUAUAAAUAUAUCACAAUUUUUUAUUUAUUCUCAUACUGAUAGAUAUCUGGAAUGUUUCCAGAAAGUUCAGGCUAUUAUGGAUAUACCUGGUUUACGUAUUCUUACAUAUGUUUUGCUCUUGUCAUUGUAAACAUGCUUUUAACUCUAUUGGAUAAAUAACUGGAGUUGGAAAUUCUGGAUCAUGGGUAAAUAUGUGUUUGGUUUUACAAUAAACACACAGAUAUUUUCUGAAGUAACUGUAACAUUUUAAACUCCCACCAACAAUCCUGAAAACUUCCAGUUUCUCCACAAUCUUGCCAAGAGUCAGUGUUGUCAGUCUUUUUCAUUUUAGCCAUUCGGGUCAUAUGUAGUGGUUUCUCGUCAUAAUGUUAGUCUGUUUUUCAUGACGACUAAUGACAUUGCACACUUCUUCAUGUGUUCAUUGCUCAUUCUUACAUGUUUUAUUUGCAAAGCAUCUAUUGACUUGUUCUACUAAUUUAUACUAUGUUGUUUAUAUUUUUUUGAGUUGUUGAAGAUCUUAAUAUUUCCUGGAUACCAGUCCUUUGUCAGAUACAAAUUUUAAAAUUGUCCACGUAUUUUUUCCAUAUCUGUGGUUUAUAUACAUACUUCUUUAAUGACAUGUUUUAAUAAACAAAAGUUUUAUUUGAUGA
Mustela lutreola (European mink) is the source of this 3597-nucleotide long non-coding RNA. RefSeq lists it as uncharacterized. The transcript is spliced from 2 exons. The record is from RefSeq and is a predicted model, not a curated record. Lineage: Eukaryota; Metazoa; Chordata; Mammalia; Carnivora; Mustelidae.